GACGAACGCUGGCGGCGUGCUUAACACAUGCAAGUCGAACGGAAAGGCCCUGCUUUUGUGGGGUGCUCGAGUGGCGAACGGGUGAGUAACACGUGAGUAACCUGCCCUUGACUUUGGGAUAACUUCAGGAAACUGGGGCUAAUACCGGAUAGGAGCUCCUGCUGCAUGGUGGGGGUUGGAAAGUUUCGGCGGUUGGGGAUGGACUCGCGGCUUAUCAGCUUGUUGGUGGGGUAGUGGCUUACCAAGGCUUUGACGGGUAGCCGGCCUGAGAGGGUGACCGGCCACAUUGGGACUGAGGGACGGAGCAGACUCCAACGGGAGGCAGCAGUGGGGAAUAUUGCACAGUGGGCGGAAGCCUGAGGCGGCAACGCCGCGUGCGGAAUGACGGCCUUCGGGGUGUAAACCGCUGUCGCCUGUGACGAAGCGUGAGUGACGGUAAUGGGUAAAGAAGCACCGGCUAACUACGUG
This 468-nucleotide ribosomal RNA is filed under the name uncultured bacterium. RNAcentral's name for it is "partial 16S ribosomal RNA". It matches the Rfam family "Bacterial small subunit ribosomal RNA", at positions 28 to 507 of the family's 1533-position model. The record is from RNAcentral.